GGUCAAGUUAUUAAGGGUGCAGGGCGGAUGCCUUGGCACUAGGAGCCGAUGAAGGACGUGAUAAGCUGCGAUAAGCUUCGGGGAGUUGCACGUAAACUUUGAUCCGAAGAUUUCCGAAUGAGGAAACUCACUUAGAGUAAUGUCUAAGUAUCAUUAAGUGAAUACAUAGCUUAAUGAGGGGAACUCAGGGAACUGAAACAUCUAAGUACCUGAAGGAAGAGAAAGAAAUUCGAUUCCGUAAGUAGCGGCGAGCGAACGCGGAUUAGCCCAAACCAAUAAAGUUUUCUUUAUUGGGGUUGCGGACAUAUCAUAACGAAGAGGUAUCGUAAUUGAAGAGGUUUGGAAAGACCCACCACAGAAGGUAAUAGUCCUGUAUGUUAAACGAGAAGACUUCAGAUAUGAUCCAGAGUACCACGGGACACGUGAAACCCUGUGGGAAGCAGGAGGGACCACCCUCCAAGGCUAAAUACUACCUAGUGACCGAUAGCGUAUAGUACCGUGAGGGAAAGGUGAAAAGAACCCCGGGAGGGGAGUGAAAUAGAACCUGAAACCCUGCACUUACAAGCUGUGGAAGCACAUUUCUUGUGUGACCGCGUACUUUUUGUAGAACGGGCCAACGAGUUACGUUAAGUAGCAAGGUUAAGCACUUAAGGUGCGGAGCCGUAGCGAAAGCGAGUUUUA
This 681-nucleotide ribosomal RNA is filed under the name Clostridioides difficile. RNAcentral's name for it is "partial 23S ribosomal RNA". It matches the Rfam family "Bacterial large subunit ribosomal RNA", at positions 1 to 686 of the family's 2925-position model. Lineage: Bacteria; Bacillati; Bacillota; Clostridia; Peptostreptococcales; Peptostreptococcaceae. The record is from RNAcentral.